GACGAACGCUGGCGGCGUGCUUAACACAUGCAAGUCGAACGGAAAGGCCCUGCUUUUGUGGGGUGCUCGAGUGGCGAACGGGUGAGUAACACGUGAGUAACCUGCCCCUGUCUUUGGGAUAACUUCAGGAAACUGGGGCUAAUACCCCAUAGGAGCUCCUGCUGCAUGGUGGGGGUUGGAAAGUUUCGGCGGUUGGGGAUGGACUCGCGGCUUAUCAGCUUGUUGGUGGGGUAGUGGCUUACCAAGGCUUUGACGGGUAGCCGGCCUGAGAGGGUGACCGGCCACAUUGGGACUGAGAUACGGCCCAGACUCCUACGGGAGGCAGCAGUGGGGAAUAUUGCACAAUGGGCGGAAGCCUGAUGCAGCAACGCCGCGUGCGGGAUGACGGCCUUCGGGUUGUAAACCGCUUUCGCCUGUGACGAAGCGUGAGUGACGGUAAUGGGUAAAGAAGCACCGGCUAACUACGUG
RNAcentral lists this ribosomal RNA (468 nucleotides) under uncultured bacterium. Its description in RNAcentral is "partial 16S ribosomal RNA". It matches the Rfam family "Bacterial small subunit ribosomal RNA", at positions 28 to 507 of the family's 1533-position model. The record is from RNAcentral.